AAAAUAACCUACACCCUGACAACUAGGCAGCCAAGAGUGUUGCACAAAUAAAUAAGCCUUUCUCUACAUGAAAAUCAACAUGGCAAGACAAUCUCCAUGGAUGCGUUUGCCAAAACUCCGAUCAUGGAGACGGUUUUCAAGGCUUGUUAAGGAGCAAAGAACUCGUCUGUAUAUCAUAUGGAGAUGCACGGUGAUUCUUCUGAGCUGGGAUGAGCACUAAUGAAUAUCAAAGUACAUGGUCAUAGUAUCUGCACGCAAAGCUGUUCAAUCCCGAGUCCUGAGGGAUUUUGUGUCAUCGUUUCAGGUCAAAGGUUGCAUGGUGAGGAUCAUAGGCAACAGAUCAUAUGCAAUUAGAUAAUUGAGACUGGCGUAGACAAGAGGCAUACCCAAGUGUCUUAAUUGGAACAAUAAUGUAAAGGAGUUUGUGUUUUUUCUUUCUCCCUGUUUCAUUUACACACACUAACCAAUCG
This 470-nucleotide unclassified non-coding RNA is filed under the name Hevea brasiliensis (rubber tree). The record is from RNAcentral. Lineage: Eukaryota; Viridiplantae; Streptophyta; Magnoliopsida; Malpighiales; Euphorbiaceae.